Long non-coding RNA from Helianthus annuus (common sunflower), 1025 nucleotides. RefSeq lists it as uncharacterized. The record is from RefSeq and is a predicted model, not a curated record. Lineage: Eukaryota; Viridiplantae; Streptophyta; Magnoliopsida; Asterales; Asteraceae. The transcript has 3 exons.
UUGUAGCCGACACCCCAUCUAAAUUCCCUUCCAAACUCCUCUGCCUUCAUCUCUUUGAAGAAAACCUUAUCCAUCUUAUCAUUUCUUUUGUCUGCAACUAGGAAGAUCCCUCAACAUACACAAAACCCAUCUUAAUUAUAUCUACAAAUUCAUAACCACACCCACAACAAGAACCUGCAACCUCUGUUCUUUCACUGGCGGUUAAUCAGAAGCCGAGACCCCCCCCCCCCUCCGAUCUUCGUUCUUCCGGUCACACACACAAACACCUCACUCUCGCUCAUCUCUCUCUCUCUCUCUCUCGGUUACGCGGACGACCGACCACCACGAUUUUGGUGGCGGCGCAUGACAAACGACAGCAGCAGCGAAGGUGCCGUCUCCGACGACGCCAAGAACAACGUCGGUGGGGGAGUUGUUCCUCACAAUAGACUGGGUCCGAGGUUUUCUCCGGUAAGUUUGUAAAUCAUCAUUUUUUCAUUCAGAAUCUAUGUUUCUCCAGCAAGUAUUCGGUGUUUCAGGCAUUACGAAGAUGAUGAUGGCAGCGGCGGUCAGUUGGGGUGAUGGUUAUUCUAGAGUCGGGUUAUAAUAAUUCCAGCUUCGGUUCAGGUUUUACCAUGGCCCCGAGUGUCAUUAUGACUAAGAGUUACUUCUAUCUCAGAUCUGAUAUUCGGGUUCAGGAUUUAGCGGGUCAACAGUGGACAAAUAGUCAACAUCAGUACGGUUCAGGUUCACAAGUUUAGGAUUCGGGUUUGUUGCACGGUCAGUUCGACUCAACAGUUAACCAUGGUCAGAAUCGGGGUUUCGGGUCAAACCCGGUUGACUCGGUCAACACCAGAGUCAACUUGGGUCAACAUACGGUCAAUCGGGGUCGAAACCAGACCCGGAAUGUCGUAGUUGCACGCUAGCUAAUACACGUUCAUGGAACAACACUAUGGAAAUCACGCUAGGCUAGCUUUGCACAAGAAUGUCAAGGUUGCAUUUUCAAAACUAUGGAACGGUUGGAAUAGGAGAACCAAUGGGAAUUCGAG